AGGUUCAUUGAAAUUGAAUGUUGACUCCAUGUUGGUCCGCCAAAGCUACUGCUGCUUGUAUUGCUGUCAAUUGCCGGCAUUGAAGAUAGAAUGCUGGUUAGGAAUGGCGUUUGAAAUUCCUAAAGGACUUAAGAUUCAUCUACUUUUUAUUUUUUUUAUUUUUUUGGUUUCACCUAGGUCAUUUCUACUUUAUUUUCUUGCUUUUGGUGGAGAUUUUGCUUUCUUGAUUUUGAUGGGUUGUUCUUGUUCAAUUAAUGCAACUGGCUUUUUCCAGGAAGUUGGAUCCCAUGUUUUCAAUUUUCUUUUGCUUUACUUUGUUUUCCACAAGCCACGGUAGUGGAGAAGGGAUUAAUGUUCAAAUUUUAAAUUAAAUUAAACAUCUCCAUUAAAUACAAGUUAAAAU
Molecule: unclassified non-coding RNA, 403 nt
Filed under: Hevea brasiliensis (rubber tree)
Lineage: Eukaryota; Viridiplantae; Streptophyta; Magnoliopsida; Malpighiales; Euphorbiaceae
Source: RNAcentral